UACAGAGGGUGCAAACGUUGCUCGGAAUCACUGGGCAUAAAGCGCAUGUAGGCGGUCUCCUAAGUCUGGUGUGAAAGCCCUGGGCUCAACCUGGGAACUGCAUCCAAAACUACUGAGCUAGAGUACGGUAGAGGGUAGUGGAAUUUCCUGUGUAGCGGUGAAAUGCGUAGAUAUAGGAAGGAACACCAGUGGCGAAGGCGACUACCUGGACUGAUACUGACACUGAGGUGCGAAAGCGUGGGGAGCAAACAGGAUUAGAUACCCUAGUAGU
This 271-nucleotide ribosomal RNA is filed under the name uncultured bacterium. Its description in RNAcentral is "partial 16S ribosomal RNA". It matches the Rfam family "Bacterial small subunit ribosomal RNA", at positions 524 to 794 of the family's 1533-position model. The record is from RNAcentral.